Molecule: ribosomal RNA, 114 nt
Filed under: uncultured bacterium
Lineage: Bacteria
Description: partial 16S ribosomal RNA
Rfam family: Bacterial small subunit ribosomal RNA
Source: RNAcentral
CGUUCCCGGCCUUGUACACACCGCCGUCACACCACGAAAGUCGGCAAUACCCGAAGCCGGUGGCCUAACCCGCAAGGGAGGGAGCCGUCGAAGGUAGGGUCGAUGAUUGGGGUG